RNAcentral lists this unclassified non-coding RNA (346 nucleotides) under soil metagenome. RNAcentral describes it as "partial contains 5.8S ribosomal RNA, internal transcribed spacer 2, and large subunit ribosomal RNA". The stretch from base 1 to 120 matches the Rfam family "5.8S ribosomal RNA", at positions 35 to 154 of the family's 154-position model. The record is from RNAcentral.
GAUGAAGAACGUAGCGAAACGCGAUAAGUAAUGUGAAUUGCAGAAUUCAGUGAAUCAUCGAAUCUUUGAACGCACAUUGCGCCCGCUGGUAUUCCGGCGGGCAUGCCUGUUCGAGCGUCAUUUCAACCCUCAAGCCCCCGGGUUUGGUGUUGGGGAUCGGCUCUGCCUUCUGGCGGUGCCGCCCCCGAAAUACAUUGGCGGUCUCGCUGCAGCCUCCAUUGCGUAGUAGCUAACACCUCGCAACUGGAACGCGGCGCGGCCAUGCCGUAAAACCCCAACUUCUGAAUGUUGACCUCGGAUCAGGUAGGAAUACCCGCUGAACUUAAGCAUAUCAAUAAGCGGAGGA